This 429-nucleotide ribosomal RNA is filed under the name Chloroflexota bacterium. RNAcentral's name for it is "Chloroflexi bacterium partial 16S ribosomal RNA". It matches the Rfam family "Bacterial small subunit ribosomal RNA", at positions 355 to 776 of the family's 1533-position model. Lineage: Bacteria; Bacillati; Chloroflexota. The record is from RNAcentral.
UGUGGAAUAUUGCACAAUGGGCGCAAGCCUGAUGCAGCCAUGCCGCGUGUAUGAAGAAGGCCUUCGGGUUGUAAAGUACUUUCAGCGGGGAGGAAGGGAGUAAAGUUAAUACCUUUGCUCAUUGACGUUACCCGCAGAAGAAGCACCGGCUAACUCCGUGCCAGCAGCCGCGGUAAUACGGAGGGUGCAAGCGUUAAUCGGAAUUACUGGGCGUAAAGCGCACGCAGGCGGUUUGUUAAGUCAGAUGUGAAAUCCCCGGGCUCAACCUGGGAACUGCAUCUGAUACUGGCAAGCUUGAGUCUCGUAGAGGGGGGUAGAAUUCCAGGUGUAGCGGUGAAAUGCGUAGAGAUCUGGAGGAAUACCGGUGGCGAAGGCGGCCCCCUGGACGAAGACUGACGCUCAGGUGCGAAAGCGUGGGGAGCAAACAGG